Bos taurus (domestic cattle) is the source of this 72-nucleotide non-coding RNA. NCBI's taxonomy places the organism in Eukaryota, Metazoa, Chordata, Mammalia, Artiodactyla, Bovidae. The record is from Rfam.
UCCCUGGUGGCUCAGAUAGUAAAGAAUCUGCUUGCAAUGCAGGAAACCCAGGUUAAAUCCCUGGGUCGGGAA